This 433-nucleotide ribosomal RNA is filed under the name uncultured bacterium. RNAcentral describes it as "partial 16S ribosomal RNA". It matches the Rfam family "Bacterial small subunit ribosomal RNA", at positions 29 to 507 of the family's 1533-position model. The record is from RNAcentral.
AGCGAACGCUGGCGGCAGGCUUAACACAUGCAAGUCGAGCGGACCUUUCGGGGUCAGCGGCGGACGGGUGAGUAACGCGUGGGAACGUGCCUUCCGGUUCGGAAUAACCCUGGGAAACUAGGGCUAAUACCGGAUAAGCCCCUAUGGGGAAAGGUUUACUGCCGGAAGAUCGGCCCGCGUCUGAUUAGCUAGUUGGUGGGGUAACGGCCUACCAAGGCGACGAUCAGUAGCUGGUCUGAGAGGAUGAUCAGCCACACUGGGACUGAGACACGGCCCAGACGCCUACGGGAAGCAGCAGUGGGGAAUAUUGGACAAUGGGCGCAAGCCUGAUCCAGCCAUGCCGCGUGAGUGAUGAAGGCCUUAGGGUUGUAAAGCUCUUUUAUCCGGGACUAUAAUGACGGUACCGGAGGAAUAAGCCCCGGCUAACUUCGUG